This 498-nucleotide ribosomal RNA is filed under the name uncultured bacterium. RNAcentral's name for it is "bacterial SSU rRNA". It matches the Rfam family "Bacterial small subunit ribosomal RNA", at positions 29 to 534 of the family's 1533-position model. The record is from RNAcentral.
AGUUAACGUUGGCGGCGUGCCUAACACAUGCAAGUCGAACGCGUCCUAAGGGCAACUUUAGGAUGAGUGGCGAACGGGUGAGUAUCACGUGGGUAAUCUUCCUUUAAGUGGGGAAUAAGCUCUCGAAAGGGAGUCUAAUACCGCAUGACAUUCCGGGACACAAGUCCCGUAAUCAAAGCCGCAAGGCGCUUGAAGAUGAGCCUGCGUCCUAUUAGCUAGUUGGUGGGGUAACGGCCUACCAAGGCUCAGAUGGGUAGCCGGCCUGAGAGGGUGAACGGCCACACUGGGACUGAGACACGGCCCAGACUCCUACGGGAGGCAGCAGUGAGGAAUUUGCGCAAUGGGGGAAACCCUGACGCAGCGACGCCGCGUGGAGGAUGAAGGCCUUCGGGUCGUAAACUCCUGUCAGAGGUGAAGAAUGCCCGCAAGGGUUUGACGGUAACCUCAGAGGAAGCCCCGGCUAACUACGUGCCAGCAGCCGCGGUAAGAGUCACGUCG